CCUGGGACCAGCCUCCCUCUGGCUGCAGUUGCCUGUCACACCACCCAGUAAAUAUUUUAUUUGGGAAAUGUUCCAGUUAUUUAGCCAUGAUUUUGUGCCAAAAAAGCCAGCAUAUCCUCAUUGUGUUUGCUCAAGGUCUGGCUCUGGUGCCAUGGUGUUUUCCUUGCAGGCAAGGCCAGGUUGAGGUCAGACUGUCCUCUUAUGUCCCUUCUGUGAACAGUGCUGACCUUGCAGUUUGCUCUCAAGCCAUGUGAUUAGUGCCAUUGGAGAAGAAAUCUCCAGGAUGCUUAGUGUGACGGCACGUUCAAUGUCACAAUGUAAUGAUCUCUUAGAGGUUGGUUGCAGCAUUCCCUAUCUGUUCUGCUAGGCACUGUCUGCUCAUCUUCCAUUCCACUGCAUCUGGUGACCAACAGGCAGGCAAAACAGCCCUGGGCCAUUUUUCCUGAUGUCACCAACCACAAAAGCAGAUAAGAAAGAUUCCAAAUUGCUGUACAGCAGAGAAGACUGGUGAGCGUCAUGAGCCGUUUGGUUGUUUCCCUCUGCAGAAUGCCCUUUCACAGAACACAAAGCAUCCUUGCACCAAAUUCCUUUACCACAGCAAUCGCUGUCUGUCCUAGUGCCACAGUGACAAGGGCACCUUAGGUAUGUAUACAUAGAGAUGUAUGCCUUCCACCAUUAAGGCAGUCCCUAAAAUAGGGAAGGAGAAGGGCACUGAUGCUUUAUUUGUAUGAGACCACUCACAGAGGCAUCUCUGCUGCGACAUCUGGCUGCUUUGGGCUAAUGGGUCAGACAAGGCAUGAGCCUGCUCCUUGCCAUGUGUAAUCCCCAGUGCCUAGCCAUCAGGACACUGCAGACUGUUGGGUUCCAUUCAGGCAUAAUUCCAUCAUUACCAUUGAUUUGUUCUCUUACACUCUCUGUGGUGCUUUUAAUCAACUCUCCAUCUUUGUGCCUUCACACCUUCACGCUUUUCAUGAUUGGCUUUGCUACCUUCUGCCUCUGCUAUGAAAUAGUACCAAUGAAAAUCUGCCUGCAUCUUACGUACAUUAACUGUCCCAUUUCUUCUCUCUCUGGUCCAUUGAAGGGAUCUCCCUCUCCCACAAAGGCACCCCUGUCUCUGCACAGCGCUCAGCAGGAACAUGAACUUGGUAGAAGAGCCUGGCAUGGAAAACCACUGAGUUCUGACACAUUCCAUUUGCUCCUAACUCUUUGAUUUCUACUCACAGAAUCUGACAUAUGUUGGGCAUUGACCUCGCUCUUUUAAAUAAGCUUAUUUUAGAAGACCUUUGCAAAAUGCUGUCUGUUUGGCCUCGAUGUAAGCUGUGAGGGAAAUGUAGCACAAACACAGAAGUUGUAUGUUUUGAAUGCCAGACAUGUUACACCAAAGAGCAGUUGGUGUGAUCUAUACUGCUGGAUGCUUUCUGUGCUGAUAGCAAGGCCAUGUCCUUAAAGAAAAUAAAACUGUACUUCCUGCAUUGGACA
This 1479-nucleotide long non-coding RNA is filed under the name Coturnix japonica (Japanese quail). RNAcentral describes it as "lncRNA (ENSCJPG00005016550.1)". The record is from RNAcentral. Lineage: Eukaryota; Metazoa; Chordata; Aves; Galliformes; Phasianidae.